Tympanuchus pallidicinctus (lesser prairie-chicken) is the source of this 2113-nucleotide long non-coding RNA. RefSeq lists it as uncharacterized. The transcript has 3 exons. Lineage: Eukaryota; Metazoa; Chordata; Aves; Galliformes; Phasianidae. The record is from RefSeq and is a predicted model, not a curated record.
ACUGCUGAAUCACAGCCUGAACCUCUGAUUGAUCACCUGAGGCGAGCACUGAGUCAGCCAUGGGGGCACAGGUGAAGGCAAUUCACCUGUGCUGCUGAAAGGGGUAAAGCCUGGCUGCACCUCUCCUAGACCCAUUUAAGAGCUGGCUACCAGGGAGAAGGAUGUCCUUCUGGAGUUUCCUUCUUUGGAGUUUUACAGCAAGCUUGGGACAAAGAAACCUGAUGGCUGUGCUUCGAGGCAUACCCAGGCACUGGGAAUGGAUGGCACCAGGGGCAGCCUCGGGCUGGCCACACUCCCUGGAGACACCUGGGAAGUCAGCACCACUUUCCAUUCUCCCAAAUUUAUUUCCUUAUUCAUCAGAAGUCUAAUCUUCUUCCGCUUUCAUAAGAUUUCUUUUUCCUUAAAACACUUUACGGGUACUUAGGGGGGGAGGAGAAGAAAGGGGAAGGGGAAAAAGAAAAACAGUUGCAUCAAGGUGAGCUUGCAGUGACAGCUGUCUUUUAUUCCUUCUAUUUUUCCUAGCAUAGACCUUCUGAGGAUGCUUGUCAAGAACGAACCUCCUCCCCCCUGACUCUUCGUUUCUCUUUCAGAGCGACUUCUGAUCUCAGAAAUGUAUUUUGUAUGUUUGAUGGAUGAAGCGAUCAAUUUAUUUUUUGACUGAGCGUUUUUGGUUAGGAAUAAAUUGUCGGCGGUCCUUUUUCCCUGUCCGGCUGUGUUAUUUGUUUUCUUUUCUCCUCCCCCAAGGUAAAUCCAGAGCGUCGUAAUGGGAUCUACAUAUACAACGACCUUCAUUAGCCAAAUUGGAAGGAACGUGUUCUCUGUUUUAAACAGCGCCGAUGAACACCCUUUCCUCUGGAGCAGAAGGGGGAUCUGAGGCGGGAUGCAGCCACCUCCAUACCCCUGCACUGCUCGGGCACGGCGUGCCCUUUAGCAUACGGCCCCGCGGGACGGCUUGCAGCGGCUGAUCCGCUCGGAGGGGUGCGGGAUCCGUGCCCCCAGCCGAGAGAUGCCCUCGUUGCCUCGUGAGCGGGCAGAGCUUGCUGAGCGAGCGCUCGCCGUCCACGCUCCCGGGUUGCCUGUCCCAGAGGACGCCAAUUAAAGGCACUAAUUGGACAGCAAUACAUCAAAGUCCGCCGCUGAGAUCGGCUUCUCUGAGCUCCGGGGGUCCUGUGGGCAGGCUUUUGUUGUAGAGAACAGCGAUGCCCCGGAUUCCGGUGUAGGUACACGGCCACGCUUGCAUCCACCCGCCCCAAAUCCCUAUGACUUCCCCGGGGGUGGAUGCCGCCCCCCGGCCCCGCUCCCUUUGGGGCAAGAUGCGGGAAAACCUCACCCCGGGGCCGGCUCCGCACGCACCCUUCCUGGAAAGAGAGGCGCGGGGCCGGAGCGGUCCUUCUCACAGCCCGGACACCGCCCGGUGCUGCCUUCCCUGUGCAUUGGCAGCGGGUGUCCAUCUGAGCUCCCGGCUUUGGGCAACAGCCUGGGUCUUCAUUCCGAACGGUUUUAGAGUUUCAGGCUCGUCUGUAUCUGUAAGUCUUCAAAAGGGCAGAAUGAAAAAAUGACAGAAUACUCGAUGCGGAGCUGACGGCAGGGAUGGAGUUGGGCGGUUGUCCCCUUUCCACCCCCCCCUGCAGCUCCCUUCCUCCCUCCGAGGAUGCGCCGGGAGCGAGGAGGAGGCUCAUCAUUUACUGCCCACGGAGGCAUUUGUUUUUCAUUUUGCAAACGCUUCCCUCUAAGUAAUUGUUCCUGUUAAGAGCGUGUACCUUUCACCGGGCUCCGCCGCACUAUAAAUAAUCCCGAUGAAGAUGCAAGGAUAUGACUUUCACAAGAUUGGACAAUUGAUUAAAACUGUGACCUGCAAUUGCGAAUAAUCUUGGAAGGCUAUUUAAACAGAUGAAGGCCUAAAUUGUCUUGCUUGUAUCUGAAUUAAUUUCUCAUUCAUCAUCAUUAUGGAGUGAUUGGUUCUAUUCAGGCUCUGCAGCCUGCUGGAACGAAACUGGAUUUAAAUGAGACUGUAACACAAUUUAAAUGCUCUCCGGCUUUAACGAGGCCAAUCGAGCAGCUGCAAUAAAUACAAAUAUUUUUCUAAACAGCCUUGUUUUAAAUAAUUACUUAA